UUUUUUUUUUUUUUUUUUUUUUUUGUAUUUUGUCUUUUUAGGGCUGCUUCCAAGGCAUAUAUGGAGGUUCCCAGGCCAGGGGUCCAAUUGGAGAUGUAGCUCCUGGCCUACACCACAGACAGUAACGUGGGAUCCAAGCCACGCCUGCGCACUACACCACAGCUCACAGCAACACGGGAUCCUUAACCCACUGAGCAAGGCCAGGGAUCGAACCUGCAUCUUCAUGGAUGCUAAUCAGAUUCGUUUCCACUGAGCCAUGAUAGCAACUCCGAUAACCAUCCUUUUUUAACCUAUUAAUUUACUUCCUUUACUUCGAUGUUUGUAGAAAUAACAUAAAUUGAAGGAGAAACACAUCAUAUCACUAAAAUAAAUCAAAUGAAUUAGAAGUCAGAAGUAGUGAAACAACCUUAACCAUUUAUAACUAUCAAUAAGACGAAUUUCUCCGAAACGCAUGGCUUAGUUCUGAAUUUCUCAAGUUCAUGUUCUGGUUUUUGGAAAAGGUUCUGUUUAAGUUCAUUUAUUUCAAAAAAACGAAAAAUAGGAGUUCCCGUCGUGGCACAGUGGUUAACAAAUCCAACAAGGAACCAUGAGGUUGCGGGUUCGAUCCCUGGCCUCACUCAGUGGGUUAACAAACCAGCGUUCCCGUGAGCUGUGGUGCAGGUUGCAGACGCGACUCGGAUCCUGCGUUGCUGCGGCUCUGGUGUAAGCCGGCGACUACAGCGACUACAGCUCCGAUUCGACCCCUAGCCUGGGAACCUCCAUAUGCCGCGAAGAGUGGCCCAAGAAAAUGGCAAAAAGACAAAAGAAAAAAAAAAAAAAGAAGAAGAAGAAAAGAAAAAGAAUCCCUUUAGUUCACUUUGAGAAUCUUCUCAAUGCAGAAAUAAAUAAAAUCAUGAGAGUCAAAUCAAUUUAGCGCUUUUACAGUUAUACUGAAAAUGAGGGACUUAAAGCAAAAUAUCCAAACUAGUUCAACAUUUAAAGAUCAGAACCCAACCUAAGCCUCCUUCCAACACUCUCAAGUCUGGCGGUGGGGACGUGAACAGAUUUGAGCCUGAUUUAAGAACAGAGACUGUCCAAACUCUUACAAAACGCGGUAACUACUAAGUGUAACAGCAGGUUAAGGAAAGGGCUAUAAGUUAUCAGCAAUAACACAAGCUAAGAUAGUUCUAAUUUUAAAAAUAGGGCUGGAGUUCCUGUCGUGGCUCAGCAGUAACAAACUCAUCUAAUAUCCAUGAGGACGCAGGUUCCAUCCCCAGCCUCACUCAGUGGGGUUAAGGAUCAGGCAUUGCCAUGAGCUGUGGUGUAGGUCGCAGACAUGAUUCGGAUCCAACUCAGAUCCCACACUGUUGCGGCUGUGGUGUAGGCCGGCAGUUGCAGCUCUGAUCCGACCCCUAGCCUGAGAACAUCCAUAUGCAAUGGGUAUGGCCCUAAAAAUAGGAAAAAAUGAAAUGAAACAAAAUGAAAUAAAAAAAAAAAAAUAGGUGCUCCCUUGAUCUUUUACUUUUGGGGUGGGGGGGGCACAGAUUUGAGGAAGUUCCCAGGCAAGGGAUGGAGCCACCAGGGCCAGGACAACGCUGGAUACUUAACCUGCUGAGCCCCGCACACCUUAUAGUUACUCUUAAAGUACUUAAAAAUGAAGACGCAAAUGAGCCAACAAAAUAUGUCCACUUAUGGCUAUAAAAUUAGAAGAACAAAAUGAUUAAGUAGAAAAAAUUUUAACAAAGGAUAAAACAACGUUUUGUAAAGAGCAUUUUCACAAACUGAAAGGCUUAAAGCAAAUAUCCCAACAGAAAAAAGGAUACUUCACAUAAAAAGGAAAAAUAAUGGCCAGGAAAUUUAUGAACAGUGCUCCACCUCGACAAUGAACAAGGAAACGGCAACUCUGAAACCAAUGACUUCUCAACUGUCAGAAAGAAAAAAGUCCAACACCCCACAUCCAGGGUUAGGUAAAGGGUUACAUGACAGUGGGGUAUAAACUGGAACAGCCUUUUAAGAAAAGAACUUAGCAGUGUCUAUCAAAACCCUCUGUGCAGACAGCCCUCCGAUGCAAAUUCUGCCUUUAGAACUCUGUUUUGCAGAAAAAUCCACACGCUCUCCAGAAAGCCACGUCUGCCUGAUGCCCGCGGGAACACGACUGAGACGCCGUGCGGGGAUGACGCACUAAGACGACUCGCGGCAACAACCUCCCUUUUUGAGGCUAAAACUCAGACAGACACACUGAUUUCUGAGGAUACGGAAUAAAAUUGGGAAAGACUAUUUUCUGAAAGUUCUUAAGAGAGAGGCUAGCUCUGGACAGCUGGAUCAGGGAAGGGGAGCUUCAAAUUUAUAAGUAAAACAUAAACUAAGUUUUAAUCCACACAAAUCGUAGUAAAACACAGGUUUCUCAGGUGUCUUUAGCUUCCCUGUGAGUAAAAAUAAGUCAGUUACUACUCACCUAGAAAAGCUCACUUAAGUCUUCAGCAGCCGCUGUUCCGUGCAGGUUCAAUUAGUCAGAUACUGAAAUGCUAAGACCAAGGUCACCACAAAGGGCUCCAAUGCGACCUCACAGCUCCAGGCGAGGAGCGGCAUUCUCCUGCGGCGAGCCUGGGCUUCCUGGGACGCGUGCAGGUCGUGAACACCUGCACCGAGCUAGGCGUUUACCCAUCCCCGGUCCCUCGGCCAGAGCACGCCGGCUCCUGCCUCUGCUUCCCAGCCACCCCGUCCUCCCAGCGGCAGGGAGCAGAGCCCAGGAACCGCUCGCGCAGCACACUGGCGGUCUGGAGCCCCUCAGGGGCAGGGUUUGGGAGCAAUUACCCGACAUCUGAGCACAGAAGGGACUGGAAGCAAAGCGGCAGCCGGAGACAAGGCGUAAGGCCAAGGCGGCUGCUGGUGGCCUCGUCCUACUGGAUCCCAGAAUUCGGUUCAUUUUCCUUUUCUCUCCUGCACAUUCGCUAUUCCAGCCCUAAAUCCCUCCCCUCCAAAACUGGCCACCAAGGCCAAACGUCUUUUUUGCUUUAUUUUCCAGGCGUGUGUUUAUAGACCACAGGAGAGGACUAAACGGCCGCGUGUGUGAAAACAGUAACAGGAACAGCUGACGAGAAGCAAGGUGAGGACUAAAAACCCGCAAGAACCAGCACUUCCCGGGGAAGGCUCACCAAAUGACUGGCAGCCUAAGAGGGCACAGGCCAACCAGCCCCCAGGUGACCUGGUCAAGAAAACACACAGUCCAGACUCAAUGAUGACAGCGGUAGCACAACCUAUGAAACCAAACCCCAUGUGAACUGCUCGUGCUGAAGGAGAAGAGGAAAGAAGACAGCACAGCAGAUCCCCGGUUCUCCGUGAGCCCCUCCUACAGAGCGAGAGCACCCCGCGACUUAGCAGCUCCAGGAAGACCGCCAGGGUCUAAAAGAGCACGUGCAGCUUGCCGUCAGCGACGCCUAAACAAACACACCAGGUCGGCUGCAGUCAACAGCCAUCUGCCUCCCCGACCUCGGGACGGCAGGUCUCUCCAAGUGAAACAAAAAACAGGAGAGGAGAGAGUCCACCAUUAAAAUACUUGCAAUGCCAGGCGUCAAGCAAGGGAGAGAGGAAAGGACAGAGACGCACUCGGACACUGCGGAGAAAACGUGGGAGGCGAGCAAGUCUCCCGCAGGGACGCCACGGCCCCGGCAGUCCCCGCCGCCUGGAGAAGAGCACGCCAGCGGGGCAGGACGGGGAGCAGGCCGUGGGCUGAGGUGAGCAGAAGGUGGCAGGCCAGGGACUGGAAGGUCAGCAGGCCAGGGACAGGAAAGCCUCCCCGGCCUGGACGCCCCUCUCCUCCCGCGGGCCUGGCCUGCUCCCCGUCCCCAGCCCCGGGCAGGACUGGCCGGUGGCCUCGAGCUCUCCACCCUGGUCCUGGUCCGCCCUGGCCGCCUCCCCCUUCCUGCUGCAGUCAACCUCCCCUGACCUCCCCUCCUCUCCACUGUCUGUGCAGGAAACUUCUACCCGGAACUUCGCAAGCACCUAAAUUCAAGACACCUCAAAGACAGCUUUUUAUUUCCCAGCUCAAAGCUAAUCUACCACUGGCAUUUUUUAAAAAUUCUAGUGGCCGCUCCCACCGCCUACCCAGCAGCCAGUACAAACCGGGGUUACCCUCCGACCAUCUCCUCCGCCCUCUCCAAGUCCAGACAAGACCUCGGGUCGCCUCCCCUCCUCCACAUGAACCACCUUAGCUGGUCUGGGCCUCACGGUGACAACAGCCACAAAACCUGCAAGUCUCCUGCCUCCCCGCCGGCUCUGCCCGCCGCCAGGGAGGACACGUGCAGCCGCAGAGCUCCCCGGGUGCUGUCACUGCGACACUGCGACAGUCUUGCGACAGUCUUACGACGAGGGCCCGACGAGGCCCUUAAGACACCGGCCAGGUUAGCCCUCCGGUUCCACAGCCCGCAACCGGCUGCUUGGCCCUGGAGACCCGCUGCACGCACAGACACACAGACACACGGAGUCUCCAGCACGAGGCGCCCUCGAAGCUGCGGGAACAAAUGCCCGCACACACCUGGUGCCAACAACGUCUCUCCAGCGCUGGGGCUGGGGGACUCGGGCCCCAAGAGGGAAGAACCACCCCAGUGGCACCGCCUAAGCCCGGGAGGGGCGAGAGCAGGCCCAAAGGCGCAGGUCUGGGACCCAGAGCCGCGGACCCGCGCGCCCACGUCACCACCCAAAGCCAGCCACGCCGUCCAGCCUGCUGCCCCGAGGCCAGGCCCGGCCACGCUCAAGGGACAGCAGAGAGCGGGCAGACGCGGCGCAGAGCCCACCAACCGAGCGCGUGGAGCUAGGCUUGCCCUCUCCUCCGCACACUCCCCCCUUCCUCCAAGGAGCCCAGCCCGACUGGGCCGAGCGGCCCCAGGAGAGGGGCACCGCCGCCCGCCCGGCGGCCCUGAACACGCCACACCUGCUGGUCUGCGCGCCUGGUCUCUGACCAGACGGCCGCUGCCGACGGCUGGGCCUCCUGCUCGCCGCUGCACGACAGCGGUCAGACGAACACGUGUUUGCCAAACCAAACUGCUUUUUACCAGGCACGGCCUCCCUUCCUCCCCGUGAAACUCCUCGCCACCUCAACCGUCUACAAAGACGUCCCGCCCUCGCCACCCGCGGGGCAGGAACAGGCUGCCUCUGUCCCACCCUGUCCCCCCUCGAGGCCGGAGCUCCUGGAGAAAGACCCCCGUGUCCACGAAGCUUUGCGUGCUCAGCACGUGGACAGUGGCCGGCACGGAGCAGGUGACCAAUGAGUCACCUCAGACACGGAGACAGAGGGGACACAUGUACUGAGCGGGAGGGCCAGGGUCCAACCUCGGACCCCAGGGCAGCCUCUGCGCGGCUGCCACUUCCAUCCUCUCCGCGGGCACAAAGGGUCUUAUGCACGUCUUGCUCGCCUUCCCUCCAGGAGACAGCAGCCCGUUUGAGCCUCUCACUUGUGCAGGCCCAGUCCCUAUGAACAAAGCCCAAAACAUAGCAGGCACUCAAUAAAUAUUAGUCUGAAUGAAUGACUACUGCAUUAGCCUAUGACCAACCCAAGAGAAAUGUUCAAAUGCCACAGUUUAACAGGCUAAGCCACUAACAGAGAAACAAAACAAAUAAGCAACAGAAGCAAUUUCUCUCAACACUCAGGCCCAGAAGUGAUAACCACUUCCACAGGUUUUGCUCAGAAGAUGACAGACGCAAAGAAUCACUGUCGCGGUACCGAAUGUAAAAUCGGUAACGUUUCUCAAGAAUCGAGCUGCGGACAUCAAUCAUGCAUUUGUAAGCACACACUAAAGACAAAAGGUCUAAAGACGCCACUGCACGAGUAAAAUGGAAACACUCCUAAAGCACUGGAAACUCGUUUAGAAGCUGUGCAAACCACAAGCAGGCAGUAGUUGGUGGCGUAAGUGCCGCUUGGCCAAAAAAAAUAACUUUAUUUAAAGUUAAAUUAUAUUUCGUGCUAGAAUACGAGCCACAAGAACCUACAGGCAAAUGCGACAUCAAAUGCUACAAAUAAGGACAAUGCGAUGGGUGACAACGGGACAGGCCUCUCAUCAUCCUGUGACACUAGUUUAGUGCUACACCGAGUACACUUCGUCUGCUGUCAUCACAAAGUCAGGUACGCUGACAUGUGGUUCCCAUGACCGCAUACUCAGUCCGUGAUGCUAAAGGAAAGCACGCUUAGCCUUCCACUGAGCAACGUCCUCCAGGCUUUACUGUUUCUUUCCAGAGAGAAAACACAGGCUUGGGAGCAGACAAGCCUGUAUGAUCUCAGAAGGCCCACUACACUGCUCCCUUUUCAAAACGGCAGUUUCGUCUGAAAUUCUCCCUUCCAGUUUGGGAAUGGCAAAUAUUUACUCAAUAGAUGUUAGAAUUACUAGUAACAACCAAGGAAUUGGUUCUAGAAGACUGGUGAAACUCCAAUGUCAGCUGGGGGGAAAAAUUGCUAGUUAAUUUGUAAAUAGCCACUUUGCAAAAUUAAAUCAACUGAGCACUGGCAGUGAGGAGACCAAAUUUAAGCAGAGACCAGGAACGGGCCCGGCCCCCAGCCCCAGCCCCAUCC
This 6541-nucleotide long non-coding RNA is filed under the name Sus scrofa (pig). RNAcentral's name for it is "lncRNA (ENSSSCG00055025199.1)". Lineage: Eukaryota; Metazoa; Chordata; Mammalia; Artiodactyla; Suidae. The record is from RNAcentral.